Molecule: ribosomal RNA, 301 nt
Filed under: uncultured bacterium
Lineage: Bacteria
Description: partial 16S ribosomal RNA
Rfam family: Bacterial small subunit ribosomal RNA
Source: RNAcentral
CAGUAGCCACGGGAAUACGAAGGGUGCAAGCGUUAAUCGGAAUUACUGGGCGUAAAGCGUGCGUAGGCGGUGAGUUAAGUCUGCUGUGAAAUCCCCGGGCUCAACCUGGGAAUGGCAGUGGAUACUGGCUCGCUAGAGUGUGUCAGAGGAUGGUGGAAUUCCCGGUGUAGCGGUGAAAUGCGUAGAGAUCGGGAGGAACAUCAGUGGCGAAGGCGGCCAUCUGGGACAACACUGACGCUGAGGCACGAAAGCGUGGGGAGCAAACAGGAUUAGAUACCCGCGUAGUCCCUGUCUCUUAUAA